GCGGACGUGGCGGAAUUGGUAGACGCGCUAGACUUAGGAUCUAGUGGACACCCCGUGGAGGUUCAAGUCCUCUCGUCCGUACCA
Molecule: transfer RNA, 84 nt
Filed under: Neorickettsia findlayensis
Lineage: Bacteria; Pseudomonadati; Pseudomonadota; Alphaproteobacteria; Rickettsiales; Anaplasmataceae
Description: tRNA-Leu
Rfam family: tRNA
About the family: Transfer RNA (tRNA) molecules are approximately 80 nucleotides in length. Their secondary structure includes four short double-helical elements and three loops (D, anti-codon, and T loops).
Source: RNAcentral